AUUGAACGCUGGCGGCAGGCUUAACACAUGCAAGUCGAGCGGGGUGAUGGUGCUUGCACUAUCUUUUAGCGGCGGACGGGUGAGUAAUGCUUAGGAAUCUGCCUAUUAGUGGGGGACAACAUUUCGAAAGGAAUGCUAAUACCGCAUACGUCCUACGGGAGAAAGCAGGGGAUCUUCGGACCUUGCGCUAAUAGAUGAGCCUAAGUCGGAUUAGCUAGUUGGUGGGGUAAAGGCCUACCAAGGCGACGAUCUGUAGCGGGUCUGAGAGGAUGAUCCGCCACACUGGGACUGAGACACGGCCCAGACUCCUACGGGAGGCAGCAGUGGGGAAUAUUGGACAAUGGGCGCAAGCCUGAUCCAGCCAUGCCGCGUGUGUGAAGAAGGCCUUAUGGUUGUAAAGCACUUUAAGCGAGGAGGAGGCUACUUUAGUUAAUACCUAGAGAUAGUGGACGUUACUCGCAGAAUAAGCACCGGCUAACUCUGUGCCAGCAGCCGCGGUAAUACAGAGGGUGCAAGCGUUAAUCGGAUUUACUGGGCGUAAAGCGCGCGUAGGCGGCUAAUUAAGUCAAAUGUGAAAUCCCCGAGCUUAACUUGGGAAUUGCGUUCGAUACUGGUUAGCUAGAGUGUGGGAGAGGAUGGUAGAAUUCCUGGUGUAGCGGUGAAAUGCGUAGAGAUCUGGAGGAAUACCGAUGGCGAAGGCAGCCAUCUGGCCUAACACUGACGCUGAGGUGCGAAAGCAUGGGGAGCAAACAGGAUUAGAUACCCUGGUAGUCCAUGCCGUAAACGAUGUCUACUAGCCGUUGGGGCCUUUGAGGCUUUAGUGGCGCAGCUAACGCGAUAAGUAGACCGCCUGGGGAGUACGGUCGCAAGACUAAAACUCAAAUGAAUUGACGGGGGCCCGCACAAGCGGUGGAGCAUGUGGUUUAAUUCGAUGCAACGCGAAGAACCUUACCUGGCCUUGACAUAGUAAGAACUUUCCAGAGAUGGAUUGGUGCCUUCGGGAACUUACAUACAGGUGCUGCAUGGCUGUCGUCAGCUCGUGUCGUGAGAUGUUGGGUUAAGUCCCGCAACGAGCGCAACCCUUUUCCUUAUUUGCCAGCGAGUAAUGUCGGGAACUUUAAGGAUACUGCCAGUGACAAACUGGAGGAAGGCGGGGACGACGUCAAGUCAUCAUGGCCCUUACGGCCAGGGCUACACACGUGCUACAAUGGUCGGUACAAAGGGUUGCUACCUAGCGAUAGGAUGCUAAUCUCAAAAAGCCGAUCGUAGUCCGGAUUGGAGUCUGCAACUCGACUCCAUGAAGUCGGAAUCGCUAGUAAUCGCGGAUCAGAAUGCCGCGGUGAAUACGUUCCCGGGCCU
Molecule: ribosomal RNA, 1359 nt
Filed under: uncultured bacterium
Lineage: Bacteria
Description: bacterial SSU rRNA
Rfam family: Bacterial small subunit ribosomal RNA
Source: RNAcentral